AUAAGACGAGAAGACCCUAUGAAGCUUCAGACGUAAAGUGGACCAAGCUACAAAGACCCCAUGAUAAAGGGACAAACCAAAAGAGCCGCCACCCCAAUGUCUUUGGUUGGGGCGACCGCGG
RNAcentral lists this ribosomal RNA (121 nucleotides) under Dissostichus eleginoides (Patagonian toothfish). Its description in RNAcentral is "partial 16S ribosomal RNA". The record is from RNAcentral. Lineage: Eukaryota; Metazoa; Chordata; Actinopteri; Perciformes; Nototheniidae.